RNAcentral lists this ribosomal RNA (253 nucleotides) under uncultured bacterium. RNAcentral describes it as "partial 16S ribosomal RNA". It matches the Rfam family "Bacterial small subunit ribosomal RNA", at positions 524 to 776 of the family's 1533-position model. The record is from RNAcentral.
UACGUAGGGUGCAAGCGUUAAUCGGAAUUACUGGGCGUAAAGCGUGCGCAGGCGGUUCGUUGUGUCGGCGGUGAAAGCCCCGGGCUUAACCUGGGAAUGGCCGUUGAAACUGGCGAACUGGAGUGUGGCAGAGGGGGGUGGAAUUCCGCGUGUAGCAGUGAAAUGCGUAGAGAUGCGGAGGAACACCGAUGGCGAAGGCAGCCCCCUGGGCUAACACUGACGCUCAGGCACGAAAGUGUGGGGAUCAAACAGG